Molecule: ribosomal RNA, 254 nt
Filed under: uncultured bacterium
Lineage: Bacteria
Description: partial 16S ribosomal RNA
Rfam family: Bacterial small subunit ribosomal RNA
Source: RNAcentral
UACGUAGGGGGCAAGCGUUGUCCGGAUUUAUUGGGCGUAAAGAGCUCGUAGGCGGCUCGGUAAGUCGGAUGUGAAACCUCCAGGCUCAACCUGGAGACGCCAUCUGAUACUGCCGUGGCUUGAGUCCGGUAGAGGAGCAGGGAAUUCCUGGUGUAGCGGUGAAAUGCGCAGAUAUCAGGAGGAACACCAAUAGCGAAGGCAGCUCGCUGGGACGGUACUGACGCUAAGGCGCGAAAGCGUGGGGAGCGAACAGG